UUUAUUUAAUUUUACAUUUUAUUAAUAAUAAUAAUCACAUGAUGGACCAACCCAUCUUACAAGAAAACAACACCUAAAAUUAUUCUCAUACCCGGCCCAACCCAAAAUAAAAAAUAACAUUUAGAAAGAGUAGGGUUUUCAAAAAAGAACAAAACAUUAAUUUCCUAAACCACAUUUCAGCUCCUCCGCCGUUGACAUUACUGUUUCAAUUCCUUCUGUUGCUGAGCCUUUGCAAAUCCUUCCUCGUUGAUCGAUCUUGCAAAUCCUUUCUGUUUCUUUUAGCUUACAGAGCUUAAUUCUCUAAUUUUUGCAACAAAUUGAAAGUUGUUUUACAACUAAGAGCACCCUGGUCUGCUGAAAUGCUGUAUAACAACUAAGUAUGCUAUUUUCUCAUUUUGUUCCUUCAACUUUUCUAGAUCUGAAUUGGCCCCAUUUUCUUUUGCUUGAAUUGCAAAGUUUUGAUAGAUUUGAAGAACUCUGAAGUGUUGAUGUCGCACGUAGUCAGCUAGUCGCCUCCAUCUCAGGUCUAAGCUAAAAGGGAAAGUGGAAAGUUUAGUCACUGGUCACAUCUCCGAUCUUCAGAUCUAUCCUCCGUCGUCGUCGACUAUCUCGUCUUGCCAGUCUUACCCCAACGCAAAAUCAGAGCUUACAUUUUGAUUACAGUGAACCAAUAUUUGAAUAUGCAAUCAUUCGACACCUUAAGCUCUCACCAGGUGCAGAUCUUCGUAUUCGUAGAUUUAUGUAUAAUACAGGUACUAUCUAAUCUCUAUAAGCCCCAAUUUCUAAUUAUUGAUCAUCCUAUUUCGUCCCUUACAUGCGUGUUGAGAUAUCUCCCUAUUCUGGUACAUAGUUGCCGAGAUAAUAUAGACAUUAUCCUUAUGGAUAAAAAUAUUAGACCUGUUUGGUACAACAAUAAAAUUUUUCAUAAAAUAUAAUGAUUGUUCUUGAAGUUCUUCGGUGAGCUUAGUAAAAAUGGAGGUUCCAAUUGAAGCCUGAAUGCGAUCACCCUGCAAACAAAUAAGAAUUCAUAUUUGACCGUAUUAUAAAGCAAAUAAGAUUAUUAAAAUUAGAAAUAUACAUAAAUUACACAUACCUUUUCGUCUUGCAAAAGCGUUUCUAUUGAUAACAGUUUAUCAGGAUUUUCAUGUUUUGAAAUAUUCCACAAUCGUACUACGCAAAAUUUUAAGUUUCAUUGCAUUUUUGUAUUUGAUAUCUCAUGAAUGAAGUUAAUUUUGGUAGAAAUUUUUUUACUCAGUAAGCAACUCUAUAUUUUUUGUUACUGAAACUAUCAGUUUAUCUAUAUUUAUAAUGAUGCUUUAGUUUUUGAAUUGCAUAGUUUAGAUAAAGAUGAAUAACAUAUUUAAAUUGUUAUCUGUAUGAAUUGUCACUAUCUUAUUUGAGAUAAUCCAUAAAUAUUAUUUAGAAAAUCACUAAAAAUUUAAAUUGCAGAAAGGUAUGACACGUUUAUUCUUUAAAUUUACACUUGGUUUAAAUUCAACUUGUUAAAUUGUUAUAAUAUCUUUUUAGUUGAGUUUUAUUUGGGUUAAAAAACUGUAAUUAGAGUUACUGGCUCACUGGAUCACGUUUAUUUUUUUUGGACUUACUAUAUUUACGUAUUUUAUUUAAAGUUAAUAUAUUGCUAAAAGUUGUUGCUUACUGACCCUUGCGUUUCUUUUUUCAGGUUCUAAAUUUGAAAUACAAUUUGAAUUUAAUGCUGUAGUUUGUUUUUGAAUAGCAAAGAAAAUUAUAAGCUAUUAUUUAGUGUUUAUCAUUAAUUUUUUUUAGUUGAGGAUACGUUUUUGGUUGAAAAAUAUCAGUAAAAGUUACUGAAAGUUACUGCUUACUUUAUAUUUAUUAGAGUUAAUAUAUUGCUGAAAUUUGUUGCUUACUGAUCCUUGUGUUUUUCUUUUUUAGGUUCUACAUUUGAAAUACAAUUUAGAUUUAAUGCUGUAGUUUAUUUUUGAAUUGGAGAGAUAAUGAUAAGUUGUCAUUUAGUGUUUAUCAUUAAAAAUUUUUUUAGUUGAGGAUUAUAUUAUUUUA
Long non-coding RNA from Capsicum annuum, 2040 nucleotides. RefSeq lists it as uncharacterized. Lineage: Eukaryota; Viridiplantae; Streptophyta; Magnoliopsida; Solanales; Solanaceae. The record is from RefSeq and is a predicted model, not a curated record. The transcript has 4 exons.